This 1373-nucleotide ribosomal RNA is filed under the name Enterobacter cloacae. RNAcentral's name for it is "bacterial SSU rRNA". It matches the Rfam family "Bacterial small subunit ribosomal RNA". Lineage: Bacteria; Pseudomonadati; Pseudomonadota; Gammaproteobacteria; Enterobacterales; Enterobacteriaceae. The record is from RNAcentral.
GGGCUAACCAUGCAAGUCGAACGGUAGCACAGAGAAGCUUGCUCUCGGGUGACGAGUGGCGGACGGGUGAGUAAUGUCUGGGAAACUGCCUGAUGGAGGGGGAUAACUACUGAACGUAGCUAUCCGCUAAGUCCAAGCCAAAGGGGGACUUGGGCUCUUGCCAUAGAUGGCCCAAUGGAUAGCUGUAGUGGGGAACGGUCCCUAGGGAGACCCUAGCUGUCUGAGGGAUGCCAGCCACACGGAACGAGACACGGUCCAGACUCUACGGAGGCAGCAGUGGGAAUUUGCACAAUGGGCGCAAGCCUGAUGCAGCCAUGCCGCGUGUAUGAAGAAGGCCUUCGGGUUGUAAAGUACUUUCAGCGGGGAGGAAGGUGUUGUGGUUAAUAACCACAGCAAUUGACGUUACCCGCAGAAGAAGCACCGGCUAACUCCGUGCCAGCAGCCGCGGUAAUACGGAGGGUGCAAGCGUUAAUCGGAAUUACUGGGCGUAAAGCGCACGCAGGCGGUCUGUCAAGUCGGAUGUGAAAUCCCCGGGCUCAACCUGGGAACUGCAUUCGAAACUGGCAGGCUGGAGUCUUGUAGAGGGGGGUAGAAUUCCAGGUGUAGCGGUGAAAUGCGUAGAGAUCUGGAGGAAUACCGGUGGCGAAGGCGGCCCCCUGGACAAAGACUGACGCUCAGGUGCGAAAGCGUGGGGAGCAAACAGGAUUAGAUACCCUGGUAGUCCACGCCGUAAACGAUGUCGAUUUGGAGGUUGUGCCCUUGAGGCGUGGCUUCCGGAGCUAACGCGUUAAAUCGACCGCCUGGGGAGUACGGCCGCAAGGUUAAAACUCAAAUGAAUUGACGGGGGCCCGCACAAGCGGUGGAGCAUGUGGUUUAAUUCGAUGCAACGCGAAGAACCUUACCUGGUCUUGACAUCCACAGAACUUUCCAGAGAUGGAUUGGUGCCUUCGGGAACUGUGAGACAGGUGCUGCAUGGCUGUCGUCAGCUCGUGUUGUGAAAUGUUGGGUUAAGUCCCGCAACGAGGCAACCCUUAUCCUUUGUUGCCACCGGUCGGCCGGGAACUCAAAGGAGACGCCAUGAUAACUGGAGGAAGGGGGGAUGACGUCAGUCAUCUGGCCCUUACAACCGGGCUACACCGGCUACAAGGGCCCAACAAGAGAAACGACCUCCGAAACCAGCGAACUCAAAAGGCCUCGAAUCCGAAUGGAACGCAAUCGAAUCCUGAAUCGGAAUCGCUAGUAAUCGUAGAUCAGAAUGCUACGGUGAAUACGUUCCCGGGCCUUGUACACACCGCCCGUCACACCAUGGGAGUGGGUUGCAAAAGAAGUAGGUAGCUUAACCUUCGGGAGGGCGCUUACCACUUUGUGAUCAA